UCCAAUAGCGUAUAUUAAAGUUGUUGCAGUUAAAAAGCUCGUAGUUGGAUCUCAGGUCCCGGCUCGCGGUUCACUUCGCGGUGCUUACUGCCCGUCCGGACCUACCCGCCGGUUUUCCCUUGGUGCUCUUCAUUGAGUGUCUCGGGUGGCCGGAACGUUUACUUUGAAAAAAUUAGAGUGUUCAAAGCAGGCGCUUCGCCUGAAUAAUGGUGCAUGGAAUAAUGGAAUAGGACCUCGGUUCUAUUUUGUUGGUUUUCGGAACUCGAGGUAAUGAUUAAGAGGGACAGACGGGGGCAUUCGUAUUACGGUGUUAGAGGUGAAAUUCUUGGAUCGCCGUAAGACGAACUACUGCGAAAGCAUUUGCCAAGAAUGUUUUCAUUAGUCAAGAACGAAAGUCAGAGGUUCGAAGACGAUCAGAUACCGUCCUAGUUCUGACCAUAAACGAUGCCGACUGGAGAUCCGCCGGAGUUGUUUCACUGACCCGGCGGGCAUCCUCUGGGAAACCGUAAGUCUAUGGGUUCCGGGGGAAGUAUGGUUGCAAAGCUGAAACUUAAAGGAAUUGACGGAAG
Molecule: ribosomal RNA, 569 nt
Filed under: Phyllodocidae environmental sample
Lineage: Eukaryota; Metazoa; Annelida; Polychaeta; Phyllodocida; Phyllodocidae
Description: SSU rRNA
Rfam family: Eukaryotic small subunit ribosomal RNA
Source: RNAcentral